RNAcentral lists this ribosomal RNA (1647 nucleotides) under Triticum aestivum (bread wheat). RNAcentral describes it as "partial small subunit ribosomal RNA". Lineage: Eukaryota; Viridiplantae; Streptophyta; Magnoliopsida; Poales; Poaceae. The record is from RNAcentral.
AUGUUGAGCGUUUUAUUGCUCGCUGCACUACAUGUCAAAAAGCUAAGUCACGACUCAAUCCUCAUGGAAACAGACCCUCGUGGUCAGGAGUUCGCUGACGUUUUUCCACAAGACGUGCCACCGGGAUUACCGCCUAUUCGAGGGAUUGAGCAUCAGAUUGACUUAAUUCCCGGUGCUUCACUGCCAAACCGUGCACCAUACCAUACCAAUCCAGAGGAGACGAAGGAGAUUAUGCGUCAAGUACAAGAGCUUCUCGACAAAGGAGGCAUUAAUAAUAUUACUAUUCGUUAUCGUCAUCCUAUUCCUAGGCUAGAUGAUAUGCUUGAUGAAUUGAGUGGCUCUACAAUAUUCUCCAAAGUUGAUUUGCGUAGUGGCUACCAUCAAAUUCGUAUGAAAUUGGGAGAUGAAUGGAAAACAGCAUUUAAAACUAAGUUUGGAUUAUAUGAGUGGUUAGUCAUGCCUUUUGGAUUAACUAAUGCACCUAGUACUUUCAUGAGAUUAAUGAACGAAGUUUUACGUGUUUUCAUUGGACGAUUUGUGGUAGUUUACUUUGAUGACAUAUUGAUUUAUAGCAGAUCUUUGGAGGAACAUUUGGAACAUUUACGUGCUGUUUUUAUUGCUCUACGUGAUGCACGUUUGUUUGGUAACCUUGGGAAGUGCACCUUUUGCACCGACCGAGUAUCUUUUCUUGGCUAUGUUGUUACUCCACAGGGAAUUGAAGUUGAUAAAGCCAAGAUUGAAGCUAUUGAGAGUUGGCCGCAGCCCAAAACGGUCACACAAGUGAGGAGUUUUCUUGGCCUCGCUGGAUUCUAUAGGCGUUUUGUGAGAGAUUUCAGCACCAUUGCUGCAGCUCUCAACGAGCUUACAAAGAAGGAUGUGCCUUUUGUUUGGGGUACCGCACAGGAAGAAGCCUUCACGGUAUUGAAAGAUAAGUUGACACAUGCUCCUUUACUCCAACUUCCUGAUUUUAAUAAGACUUUUGAGCUUGAAUGUGAUGCUAGUGGAAUUGGAUUAGGAGGUGUGUUAUUACAAGAUGGCAAACCUGUUGCAUACUUUUCUGAAAAAUUGAGUGGGCCUAGUCUGAAUUAUUCUACUUAUGAUAAAGAAUUAUAUGCUCUUGUUCGGACUUUAGAAACAUGGCAACAUUAUUUAUGGCCCAAAGAAUUUGUUAUACAUUCUGAUCAUGAAUCUUUGAAACAUAUUAAAAGUCAAGCUAAACUGAAUCGUAGACAUGCUAAAUGGGUUGAAUUUAUUGAGACUUUCCCUUAUGUCAUUAAACACAAGAAGGGAAAAGAAAAUGUUAUUGCUGAUGCAUUGUCUCGUCGCUAUACUAUGCUUUCACAACUUGACUUCAAAAUAUUUGGUUUAGAGACCAUCAAAGAUCAAUAUGUGCAUGAUGCUGAUUUUAAAGAUGUAAUGCAGAAUUGUAAAGAAGGAAGAAUGUGGAACAAGUUUGUCGUUAACGAUGGAUUUGUGUUUCGUGCUAACAAGCUAUGCAUUCCAGCUAGCUCCGUUCGUCUUUUGUUGUUGCAGGAGGCGCAUGGAGGAGGAUUAAUGGGACACUUUGGCGUGAAGAAGACGGAGGACGUACUUGCUACACAUUUCUUUUGGCCAAAGAUGAGACGGGAUGUUGAGCGGCUGUUUUGA